CUGUAGUGGAAUUUGGACCAUUAGCUGUUUUCGGUGUGGUAGUCGUGCUCGUUUUUGUGGGCUGGGAGGUGCGGGUUGUCGCAGUUGUAGCUGUUUUCGGUGUGGUUUUCGUGCUCGUUUUUGUGGGCUGGGAGGUGCGGGUUGUCGCAGUUGUAGCUGUUUUCGGUGUGGUUUUCGUGCUCGUUUUUGUGGACUGGGAGGUGCGGGUCGUCGCAGUUGUAGCUGUUUUCGGUGUGGUAGUCG
Molecule: long non-coding RNA, 243 nt
Organism: Brienomyrus brachyistius
Lineage: Eukaryota; Metazoa; Chordata; Actinopteri; Osteoglossiformes; Mormyridae
Exons: 3
Source: RefSeq, a predicted model, not a curated record